CCUACGGGGUGCAGCAGUGGGGAAUAUUGGACAAUGGGCGAAAGCCUGAUCCAGCCAUGCCGCGUGUGUGAAGAAGGCCUUCGGGUUGUAAAGCACUUUCAGUGGGGAAGAAAGCCUUGGGGCUAAUACCCUCGAGGAAGGACAUCACCCACAGAAGAAGCACCGGCUAACUCCGUGCCAGCAGCCGCGGUAAUACGGAGGGUGCGAGCGUUAAUCGGAAUUACUGGGCGUAAAGCGCGCGUAGGCGGUCUGAUAAGCCGGUUGUGAAAGCCCCGGGCUCAACCUGGGAACGGCAUCCGGAACUGUCAGGCUAGAGGGCAGGAGAGGAAGGUAGAAUUCCCGGUGUAGCGGUGAAAUGCGUAGAGAUCGGGAGGAAUACCAGUGGCGAAGGCGGCCUUCUGGACUGACACUGACGCUGAGGUGCGAAAGCGUGGGUAGCAAACAGGAUUAGAUACCCGGGUAGUC
This 465-nucleotide ribosomal RNA is filed under the name Vreelandella stevensii. RNAcentral describes it as "partial 16S ribosomal RNA". It matches the Rfam family "Bacterial small subunit ribosomal RNA", at positions 338 to 795 of the family's 1533-position model. Lineage: Bacteria; Pseudomonadati; Pseudomonadota; Gammaproteobacteria; Oceanospirillales; Halomonadaceae. The record is from RNAcentral.